This 911-nucleotide long non-coding RNA is filed under the name Bos indicus x Bos taurus (hybrid cattle). RNAcentral describes it as "lncRNA (ENSBIXG00005031078.1)". The record is from RNAcentral. Lineage: Eukaryota; Metazoa; Chordata; Mammalia; Artiodactyla; Bovidae.
AAAUUCCCAUUGGCUAUGUAUUUUACAUAUUCCCAUUGGCUAUGUAUUUUACAUACGGUGCUGUCUAGGUUGGUCAUAGCUUUUCUUCCAAGGAGCAAUUGUCUUUUGAUUUCAUGGCUACAGUCACCAUCUGCUGAGAAAAUAAAAUCAGUCUCUGUCUCCACUGUUUCUCCAUCUGUUUGCCAUGGAGCGAGUCACAGCCACAGGACCGUGGUGGCUUCAUGAUGAGGGUGAGAGCAGAGCUGGGCCUGCUGGCCUGGGGUGUAAGACACAGCAGCCGAACCACAGGAGGCGCAGUCAGCUACACCCAGGAGUGAGCUGGGGACAUGUAGGACGCCUUACACACCUGCUCAGCUCCAGCAGAAUAACCACUGCUGUGCUGCUUCUGACCGCUGGGUCCCCAGUCCUCCCUCGCACUUGAAUGUGAUGGAAAGGAAUACUGUUAAGCCCUCAGAUGCUGCUGGUUGAGCUACCACUCAGGAAGGACUGAUGCCUCCUUUUUCACAAAGUUAUUCAGGACAUGUUUUCUUCUAGAAAUGAACAUUUUGCUUCCUUCCCAAACUGCAAUACUGCACUUCAGAACUCACAGGAAUACUUGAUGUAUAGAAGACUAACUGUAUUUCAGAGUAAAAAUAUAAAAGAAAAAUUAUUCUAAAAAUCUGUUCAAGACAACACUGUAUGUGUGUGUGUGUGUGAACACUCAGUUGUGUUUGACACUUUGGAACCCCAUGGGCUGUAGCCCACCAGGUUUCUCUGUCCAUGGGGAUUCUGCAGGCAAGAAUACUGGAGUGGGUUGCCAUUUCCUUCUCUAAGGAAUCUUCCCGACCCAGGGAUUGAACCCACAUCUCCUACAUUGGCAGGCAGGUUCUUUACUGCGGAGCCACCUGGGAAGCCCUCAAGAUUGUAUAAUG